GACGAACGCUGGCGGCGUGCUUAACACAUGCAAGUCGAGCGAAAAGACCCAGCUUGCUGUGUUCUCGAGUGGCGAACGGGUGAGUAACACGAAGGUGGUCUGCCUCUCACUUCGGGAUAAGCUAGGUAAACUGGGUCUAAUACCGGAUAGAACAAUUGUUGAGCGUCGUGUUUGGAAAGUUUUUUCGGGUAGUGCUGAGCCCGCGGCCUAUCAGCUUGUUGGUGUGGUAAUGGCAUAACGAAGCGGCGUCGGGUAGCCGGCAUGCGAAGGUGCACGGCGACAUUGGGACUGAGAUAGGGCCCAGACUCCUACGGGAGGCAGCAGUGGGGAAUCUUGCGCAAUGGGGGCAAGUCUGAUGCAGCGACGCCGCGUGGGGGAUGACGGCCUUCGGGUUGUAAACCUCUUUCGACAGGGACGAAGCUUUGUUGACGGUACCUGUAUAAGAAGCACCGGCUAACUACGUG
RNAcentral lists this ribosomal RNA (464 nucleotides) under uncultured bacterium. RNAcentral's name for it is "partial 16S ribosomal RNA". It matches the Rfam family "Bacterial small subunit ribosomal RNA", at positions 28 to 507 of the family's 1533-position model. The record is from RNAcentral.